This 253-nucleotide ribosomal RNA is filed under the name uncultured bacterium. Its description in RNAcentral is "partial 16S ribosomal RNA". It matches the Rfam family "Bacterial small subunit ribosomal RNA", at positions 524 to 776 of the family's 1533-position model. The record is from RNAcentral.
UACGUAGGGCGCAAGCGUUAUCCGGAAUUAUUGGGCGUAAAGAGCGUGUAGGCGGCUUGGUAGGUCCGCUGUGAAAACUCGAGGCUCAACCUCGAGAUGUCGGCGGAAACCACUUGGCUAGAGUCCGGAAGAGGAGAGUGGAAUUCCCGGUGUAGCGGUGAAAUGCGCAGAUAUCGGGAAGAACACCUAUGGCGAAGGCAGCUCUCUGGGACGGUACUGACGCUGAGACGCGAAAGCGUGGGGAGCGAACAGG